Molecule: long non-coding RNA, 1103 nt
Filed under: Oncorhynchus mykiss (rainbow trout)
Lineage: Eukaryota; Metazoa; Chordata; Actinopteri; Salmoniformes; Salmonidae
Description: lncRNA (ENSOMYG00000071934.1)
Source: RNAcentral
GUGGAGCGGGAGUACGCCCACUAGAAAGCAGCAUGCUGCCAGACCACCACAGGACCCUAGAGGCCUCAGCCUGCUGUGACAAGGGCCCGGGUGGUGACAUAUGCUUCAAGCUGCCUGACUGAAUACAGGGGCCUUCAGCUGUACCUUCCCUUUGAUUACAGCAAGAGUCUCCUUAUUAAGUCUUAUAGCCAUUUAACAUGUACUUUAUGUAACCACUCAAAUUCUUACAAACUUAUACGAAUACAUGAACAGACUUAUAUUCACUUGCCUCUGGCUGCGUUUACAGGCAGCCCAAUUCUGAUAUUUUUUCCACUAAUUGGUCUUUUGACCAAUCCCAGAUCUUUUCACAUUGGUUCAUUUUUCAGAGCUGAUUCAUCAAAAGACCAAUUGGUGGGAGAAAAGUGUCAGACUUGGGCUGCCUGUCUAAACACAGCCUAUUUGUCCUAUUCUUCAGGCUUGUCUGGGAUAUAUAUAUAUUUUCGUUGGCACACCUGUGUGAUAUCUUUUAUAUAUGAAUAAUACUUUUUUCACCCUGGAUAUGAGACUUGCUUUGAUUUUUAGACCUCUUUGAAUCAGAAGUGCAGUCUUGAUGGAUAAAGUCUGCAUGUUGUCAGAUGUUUAAGUAGUAGUUAGUAGUAUAGUAGUUCGUCAAAAUGAGAAGACCAGGCUGAAACAGUUGUGGUUUUGUAUUUUUUUUAAAUGAACAUGAGUAGUUUAUACAAAACUUGAUUGCAUUUGGUGGUCAUCCCUCCCCCAAAUUUGACAAUUUUAAAGCCUUGAUAUUUCCCUGAGGAAGGAUGCAACUUUCUGCUGAUACCUACCACCCAUGUUGUCAACUUUUUUUGAUGUGCUGCUCUAGAGUUCCAUGGCCCAGCAGACUCCCCUGUGGAUGGGAGAUGGACAUGUUUAGUUUUUAUAAAAGUCUGGGUGACUUUUUUUAGAGGGAGGUGAGUGCAUUAGUUUGAGUGAGUACAGUAAGAGAGUUGACAUUGACGAUUGAGGAUUAUAAGUGUGCCUUCCAAUCACACAAAUGAUGCGUAAAAAACGGGGGGCUAGACUUGUUGUGCUGUCCGCCAGAAAAGUUCCAAAGACUAUCCAUCAAC